Molecule: unclassified non-coding RNA, 328 nt
Filed under: soil metagenome
Description: partial contains 5.8S ribosomal RNA, internal transcribed spacer 2, and large subunit ribosomal RNA
Rfam family: 5.8S ribosomal RNA (bases 1-120)
Source: RNAcentral
GAUGAAGAACGCAGCGAAAUGCGAUAAGUAAUGUGAAUUGCAGAAUUCAGUGAAUCAUCGAAUCUUUGAACGCACAUUGCGCCCCUUGGUAUUCCGAGGGGCAUGCCUGUUCGAGCGUCAUUAUAACCCCUCAAGCUCAGCUUGGUGUUGGGGCCUGCUGCACUGGCAGCCCUUAAAAUCAGUGGCGGCGCCAUCUGGCUCUAAGCGUAGUAAUUCUUCUCGCUAUGGAGUCCUGGUGGAUGCUUGCCAUCAACCCCCAAUUUUUUAAGGUUGACCUCGGAUCAGGUAGGGAUACCCGCUGAACUUAAGCAUAUCAAUAAGCGGAGGA